CCUGACCCACGAGCGCCAAGGCGCUGUCAGGACGUUACUCCUAAGGGAAAAGAGUCUAGGGAGUGGGGGUUGGGGGGAGGAAGUUACUUUCAGACCACGUGGCCUGUAGCGGACCAGCCCAACAGCUCCACCCCUGCAAGCUUCCAAAUCGCCCGCGCUUUCCCUGCUGUGUCGUUGCAUGGGGCUGGCGGGUCUCGGUGAAGGAACUGCUUUGACUCCAGGUAUUCCAUGGCUUCACAGACAUCUUUGCACAUCUCCAGCAGCUGCUGAGUCUGGAAGCGGUGGCGCAUCUCCCUCAGGUAGUUCAGGAGGCAGCCAUUGGCCAUGUACUCAGUGAUGAUGAAGAUGGGGCGUUGUUUGGUGCAGACGCCAUACAACUGCACCAGCUUCUCAUGGGAAAGAUUCCUAUAGAAGAGGCAAGGAACUAGUCCUCCCCUUUUGGCUCUGCAUACUAGUUAUAAUGGGGCUGAGGAGGGAAGGGUUUGGCCUAGGAUAGAUAAUUAGGUAAGGUAGCAUAAUAGCAACUUUAUUUAUUUCCUUUCCAACUCACACCCCAGAAGUGUCUAAUAUAUGGGGUGCACAGGGAUUUGGAACAUAGCAAUUGAAUAGGAAAUAAAUCCAGGGUUGAAAGAUCA
Long non-coding RNA from Ictidomys tridecemlineatus (thirteen-lined ground squirrel), 635 nucleotides. RefSeq lists it as uncharacterized. The record is from RefSeq and is a predicted model, not a curated record. NCBI's taxonomy places the organism in Eukaryota, Metazoa, Chordata, Mammalia, Rodentia, Sciuridae.